AAUCAACGCUGGCGGCGUGCCUAACACAUGCAAGUCGGACGUGAAAGGGGUUUCGGCCCUAAGUAGCGUGGCGGACGGGUGAGGAACGCGUGGGUGACCUGCCCUGCAGAGGGGGAUAACCCUCCGAAAGGGGGGCUAAUACCGCAUGAGCCCGAGAGGGGAAAGACGGUGAGUCGCUGCGGGAGGGGCCUGCGUCCGAUUAGCUAGUUGGUGAGGUAACGGCUCACCAAGGCGACGAUCAGUAGCCGACCUGAGAGGGUAAUCGGCCACAUUGGAACUGAGACACGGUCCAAACUCCUACGGGAGGCAGCAGUGGGGAAUAUUGCACAAUGGGCGAAAGCCUGAUGCAGCAACGCCGCGUGAGCGAUGAAGGCCUUUGGGUCGUAAAGCUCUGUCCUUGGGGAAGAAACAAAUGACGGUACCCUUGGAGGAAGCCCCGGCUAACUACGUG
RNAcentral lists this ribosomal RNA (451 nucleotides) under uncultured bacterium. RNAcentral describes it as "bacterial SSU rRNA". It matches the Rfam family "Bacterial small subunit ribosomal RNA", at positions 29 to 507 of the family's 1533-position model. The record is from RNAcentral.